AACAAGGAUUCCCCUAGUAACUGCGAGUGAAGCGGGAAGAGCUCAAAUUUUGAAUCUGGCGGUCCUUGUGGUCGUCCGAGUUGUAAUCUAGAGAAGCGUUUUCCGCGCUGGACCGUGUACAAGUCUCCUGGAACGGAGCRUCAUAGAGGGUGAGAAUCCCGUCUCUGACACGGACUACCAGGGCUUUUGUGAUGCGCUCUCGACGAGUCGAGUUGUUUGGGAAUGCAGCUCAAAUUGGGUGGUAAAUUCCAUCUAAAGCUAAAUACAGGCGAGAGACCGAUAGCGAACAAGUACCGUGAGGGAAAGAUGAAAAGGACUUUGGAAAGAGAGUUAAACAGUACGUGAAAUUGCUGAAAGGGAAACGCUUGAAGUCAGUCGCGUUGGCCGGGGAUCAGCCUUGCAAUCUUGUUGGGUGCAUUUCCUGGUUGACGGGUCAGCAUCAAUUUUGACCGUCGGAGAAGGGUCGAGGGAAUGUGGCAUCCUUCGGGGUGUGUUAUAGCCUUUGAUCGUAUGCGACGGUUGGGAUUGAGGAACUCAGCAUGACCCCUCGUGGGUUUGGGGCUUCGGCUCACAUCCAUGCUUAGGAUGCUGGCAUAAUGGCUUUAAGCGACCCGUCUUGAAACACGGACCAAGGAGUCUAACAUGCCCGCGAGUGUUUGGGUGUUUAAAACCCGAGCGCGUAAUGAAAGUGAAAGUUGAGACCUCUGUCGUGGAGGGCAUCGACGCCCGGACCAGAACUUUUGUGACGGCCCUGCGGUAGAGCGUGUAUGUUGGGACCCGAAAGAUGGUGAACUAUGCCUGAAUAGGGUGAAGCCAGAGGAAACUCUGGUGGAGGCUCGUAGCGAUUCUGACGUGCAAAUCGAUCGUCGAAUUUGGG
Molecule: ribosomal RNA, 877 nt
Filed under: Serpula himantioides
Lineage: Eukaryota; Fungi; Basidiomycota; Agaricomycetes; Boletales; Serpulaceae
Description: eukaryotic LSU rRNA
Rfam family: Eukaryotic large subunit ribosomal RNA
Source: RNAcentral